UCCUACGGGGCGCAGCAGUGGGGAAUAUUGCACAAUGGGGGAAACCCUGAUGCAGCGACGCCGCGUGGGCGACGAAGCGCUCCGGCGCGUAAAGCCCUGUCAGCAGGGAAGAAAAAAGACAGUACCUGACCAAGAAGCCCCGGCUAACUACGUGCCAGCAGCCGCGGUAAUACGUAGGGAGCAAGCGUUGUUCGGAAUGACUGGGCGUAAAGGGUGCGUAGGCGGUUAUACAAGUUAGAAGUGAAAUACCCAGGGCUUAACUCGGGGGCUGCUUCUAAAACUGUAAGACUUGAGUACAGUAGAGG
RNAcentral lists this ribosomal RNA (305 nucleotides) under uncultured bacterium. RNAcentral's name for it is "bacterial SSU rRNA". It matches the Rfam family "Bacterial small subunit ribosomal RNA", at positions 337 to 657 of the family's 1533-position model. The record is from RNAcentral.